UGCACUGGCUGUCGAGUGGCGCACGGGUGAGUAAUGUAUAGCUUACGUGCCCCAUAGAGGGGGAUAACUACUAGAAAUGGUAGCUAAUACCCCAUACUCCUUAUAGUAGGGAUACUAUAAGGGAAAGGAGUAAUCCGCUAUGGGAUCGGGCUAUAUCGUAUCAGCUAGUUGGUGAGGUAAAGGCUCACCAAGGCUAUGACGCGUAGCUGGUCUGAGAGGAUGAUCAGCCACACUGGAACUGAGACACGGUCCAGACUCCUACGGGAGGCAGCAGUGGGGAAUAUUGCACAAUGGGGGAAACCCUGAUGCAGCAACGCCGCGUGGAGGAUGACGCAUUUCGGUGUGUAAACUCCUUUUAUAUGGGAAGAUGAUGACG
This 376-nucleotide ribosomal RNA is filed under the name uncultured bacterium. RNAcentral's name for it is "bacterial SSU rRNA". It matches the Rfam family "Bacterial small subunit ribosomal RNA", at positions 80 to 456 of the family's 1533-position model. The record is from RNAcentral.